Non-coding RNA from Pimephales promelas (fathead minnow), 466 nucleotides. The record is from RefSeq and is a predicted model, not a curated record. Lineage: Eukaryota; Metazoa; Chordata; Actinopteri; Cypriniformes; Leuciscidae.
GGAAACCAUGGAAACGAGGAAACCUCUUCAACUGACAAACAGCAAAAAAUAGCGUCUCCCUGUUUUUCCACUGCUUUCAGUCUAGAAAAUCACCAUGAUGUCCUGCUACAGCCCUGUCCCAAGACAACCUCCACGGCUAUGAACUCGACUAAUGAGAUAUCAUUUGACCCUGUGAUUCUUCAGGACCAGAUCUUGAUGCCAUCCACACCCAGUACAUGACAAAGAUGCUGUGACAAAAAGCAGUCAAGCCACUGCAUGUGAUGUGGAAGCCUCUAUGAAGACAUGGCUCCGUAAUCCCUGGGACAGAGAUGGGGGACGGCAAGGAAGGGCCAGAACUGCAGAAAUACCUACUGUUUCCCCUGAGGGGAUUGAUUUUUAAUUUUCAAUCCCCUGUUUUCUGUGGUUAUUGCCGUUUUAAACUGUAUUAUCAUUAAUUAUAAUUAUUAUUAAAUAUAAAUAAAUUAUU